AGAGUUUGAUCCUGGCUCAGAUUGAACGCUGGCGGCAUGCUUUACACAUGCAAGUCGAGCGGCAGCGCGGGGGCAACCCUGGCGGCGAGCGGCGAACGGGUGAGUAAUACAUCGGAACGUGUCUUGUAGUGGGGGAUAACCCGGCGAAAGCCGGACUAAUACCGCAUAUGCUCUACGGAGGAAAGUGGGGGACCCGCAAGGGCCUCACGCUAUGGGAGCGGCCGAUGUCCGAUUAGCUUGUUGGUGAGGUAACGGCUUACCAAGGCGACGAUCGGUAGCUGGUCUGAGAGGAUGAUCAGCCACACUGGGACUGAGACACGGCCCAGACUCCUACGGGAGGCAGCAGUGGGGAAUUUUGGACAAUGGGGGAAACCCUGAUCCAGCCAUGCCGCGUGCGGGAAGAAGGCCUUCGGGUUGUAAACCGCUUUUGUCCGGGAAGAAAAGGCAUUCCCUAAUACGGAGUGCUCUUGACGGUACCGGAAGAAUAAGCACCGGCUAACUACGUGCCAGCAGCCGCGGUAAUACGUAGGGUGCGAGCGUUAAUCGGAAUUACUGGGCGUAAAGCGUGCGCAGGCGGUUCGUGAUGUCUGGUGUGAAAGCCCCGGGCUUAACCUGGGAAUUGCAUUGGAAACUAGCGGGCUGGAGUGUGGCAGAGGGGGGUGGAAUUCCACGUGUAGCAGUGAAAUGCGUAGAUAUCGGGAGGAACACCUGUGGCGAAAGCGGCGCACUGGACCAUAACUGACGCUGAGGCGCGAAAGCUAGGGGAGCAAACAGGAUUAGAUACCCUAGUAGUCC
This 795-nucleotide ribosomal RNA is filed under the name uncultured bacterium. RNAcentral's name for it is "bacterial SSU rRNA". It matches the Rfam family "Bacterial small subunit ribosomal RNA", at positions 8 to 796 of the family's 1533-position model. The record is from RNAcentral.